Long non-coding RNA from Callithrix jacchus (white-tufted-ear marmoset), 6755 nucleotides. RefSeq lists it as uncharacterized. The record is from RefSeq and is a predicted model, not a curated record. NCBI's taxonomy places the organism in Eukaryota, Metazoa, Chordata, Mammalia, Primates, Cebidae.
GGCUCGCCUGCGCCCAGGCUGCCGUUGAGGAACAGCACCCCCAGGGCUCUGUCGAUGGCAAAGACGCUCGGCUGAGGGUUGGCGAUGGCGUACCGGAUGAGUCCAUUCCGCCCACUGUCUCUGUCUUCUGCACGUGCGAGAGACUACUGUGCAAUGUCGUACUUCCUAGCCUGUUGAAAAGCGGACACAUGGAUUUAAGAUGUUUUUGGUGUAUAAAAAGAAGGUCCAAUGGGACAAGAGCAAGCUACAGGACUAUCUUCAGGCACAUCUUCAUAAACUAAAAAAGUGUACUUAGGCUUUUCAAACUCAGAAGUCACCAGAGUUGUCUGGAAAAUGUGUAUGGUAACGUCGGCAUUAAUGAGAGCUGCGAGUCCACCACCGUCUUGAGCAGUGACCAUCAGUGAAAGUGUACUCGACUCCAAAUGACUAAGAGUUUUCCACUAGGUUUUAAAAAGAAAAUGCCUGGAGUUUUUGAAGGGAUUCAAGAUGGCGCGGUAAGAACAACUCAGGAUCACAGCUCUUAGUGAAUGCUCAGAGGGUGAGUCAAAGCCACAUUUCCAGACGGAUCUUUGUUGCCCACAGAAUGGGGGAAUUCCCAGGUGUAGGAAAGACACGGGACACAAGCGCAGCCAUCUUGGCUGUUGAAGCCACUUCGGCCAGCGCUGCAGCACAGCGGCAAUCCACAACAAUCCGCACAAAACACACUGACCCGGGUGCCCUGCUAAACUGGCAAUCUGAGAUUUGGGAGGGCAGAUUAGCAUAUCCAUCUGAUUAAACGGGACUUGGACAGUGAGCCAGACCAGGAGAUUCCUGGGAAGUGGCGUUUGAGCCAGCGCAGUGGCUCGCUGCACGGGAAAUCACACAGAUCCUGGUGCCCUACCAGUGGGCAACUGAAACACCUGGGAGAGAGCCAUCCAUUCAACUUAAAAAAAAAAAAAAGGAAGGCGCUCUGAGGCAGGGAGCCAGGCGAGCAGGCUCGGUGGGUUUCACCCCCACAGGGACAAACAAAACAGCAAUUCGAAACACUCCGGGUGGAGAGUUUCACUGUAGGCACAGCUGAACCCAGGACGAUGCAGCUCGGUGGGGGAGGGGCGUCCACCAUGACCAAGGCAAUCCGCCCCUACUGAGGUACACUCCCAUUGCUGAUGCAGCCCACUGUUGCUGAGGCAAUCCACCAUAACAGAGAGAGUCCGCUGCAGGGCAGGGCCCGCAGCAACAGGGCGGACCCCACAUCAGCAGGGCGGAUCCUCGGCAGGCAAAUAGUGACUAGACUGCCUCCUAGCUGGGCAGGAUAGUGCAACGGACACUCAAAAAGAAUGCCCCAACUGCCCGAGACAAAGCAUCUGAGGAAAAAAAGGGGUUUUAAGAGUUCUGCUGCAGCAGACAUAAAUGUAGCAGCCUAACAGCCCUGAAUGAACAAUGGAGCUCACAGCUCAGCACUUGAGCUCCUAUAAAGUACAGACCAUCUCCUCAAGCAGCUCCCUGACCCCUGUAUAUCCAGAGUCACCUCAAAAAGGACUGAUCAGACUGACAUUUGGCGGGCAUCAUUCUGGGACAAAGAUAGCAGAAGAAGAAACUGGUAGCAUCCCUCACUGUUCUGCAGCUGCUACAAGUGUACCCCAGACAAGCAGGGCCUGGAGUGGACCUCAGCAGUCAUACAGCAGAGGAGCUAGUCUGGUAGAAGGAAAACCAAGUAACAAAAAUACCUCAUCAUCAACAAUCUGGGGGUGCACUCAGAGACCCAAUCAAAAAGUCAGCAACUACUCAGAUGACAGGUGGAUAAAUCCACAAAGAUGGGAAGAAACCAGCACAAAAAGGAGAAAAACACCCAAAACCAGAACACCUCGCCUCCUACAAUGAACGAAAACUCCUCACCAGCAAGGGAACAAAGCUGGAUGGAGAAUGACUGUGACAAAAUGAUAGAAUCAGACUUCAGAAGGUGGGUAAUGAGAAACUUCUGUGAGCUAAAAGAACAUGUUCUAAAUCAAUGCAAAGAAACUAAGAACGUUGAAAAAAGGUUUGAAAAAAGAUUCGAGGAAAUGAUAAGAAUGGAUAACUUAGAGAGGAAUAUGAAUGAAUUGAAGGAGCUGAAAAACACAACAAGAGAACUUUGCAAAGCAUACACAAGUUUCAACAACAGAAUUGACCAAGCAGAAGAAAGAAUAUCAGAAGUCGAAGAUCAACUCAAUGAAAUAAAACGAGAAACCAAGAUUAGAGAAAAAAAAGGCAAAAAGGAAUGAACAAAGUCUCCAAGAAAUGUGGGACUAUGUGAAGAGACCUAACCUACAUUUGAUAGGUGUACCAGAAGGGGACGAAAAGAACAAAUUCAAGCUGGAAAAUACUCUUCAGGAUACUAUCCAGGAAAAUUUCCCCAACCUAGCAAGGCAGGCCAACACUCAAAUCCAGGAAAUACAGAGAACACCACAAAGAUACUCAUCAAAAAGAGCAACCCCAAGGCACAUAAUCUUCAGAUUCACCAGGGUUGAAAUGAAGGAGAAAAUACUAAGGGCAGCCAGAGAAAAAGGUCGGGUCACCCACAAAGGGAAGCCCAUCAGACUCAUAGUGGAUCUCUCGGCAGAAACUCUACAAGCAAGAAGAGAGUGGGGGCCAAUAUUCAACAUCCUUAAAGAAAAGAACUUUCAACCCAGAAUUUCAUAUCCAGCCAAACUGAGCUUCAGAAGUGAAGGAAAAAUAAAAUCCUUUGUGAACAAGCAAGUACUCAGAGAUUUUGUCACCACCAGGCCUGCUUUACAAGAGCUCCUGAAAGAGGCACUACACAUAGAAAGGAACAACCAGUACCAGCCAUUCCAAAAGCACACUAAAUGCUAAAGAGCAUCAACAAAAUGAAGAAUCUUCAUCAACUAAUGAGCAAAACAGGCAGCUAGCAUCAAAAUGGCAAUAUCAAAUUCACACAUAACAAUAUUAACCCUAAAUGUAAAUGGACUAAAUGCACCAAUCAAAAGACACAGACUGGCAAAUUGGAUAAAAAAUCAAAACCCAUCAGUGUGCUGUAUCCAGGAAACCCAUCUCACAUGCAAGGAUACACAAAGGCUCAAAAUAAAGGGAUGGAGGAAGAUUUACCAAGCAAAUGGAGAGCAAAAAAAAAGCAGGAGUUGCAAUUCUCAUCUCUGAUAAAAUAGACUUUAAAACAACAAAGAUCAAAAGAGACAAGGAAAGUCAUUACAUAAUGGUAAAAGGAUCGAUACAACAAGAAGAGCUAACAAUCCUAAACAUAUAUGGACCCAAUACAGGAGCACCCAGAUAUAUAAGGCAUGUUCUUAAUGACUUACAAAGAGACUUAGACUCCCACACAAUAAUAGUGGGAGACUUUAACACUCCACUGUCAAUAUUAGACAGAUCAACCAGACAGAAAAUUAACAAGGAUAUCCAGGGCUUGGACUCAGACUUGGAACAAGCAAACCUGAUAGACAUUUACAGACCUCUCCACCCCAAAUCCACAGAAUAUACAUUCUUCUCAGCACCACAUCACACCUACUCUAAAAUUGACCACAUAAUUGGAAGUAAAGCUCCUCAGCAAAUGCAAAACAAUGGAAAUCAUAACAAACAGUCUCUCAGACCACAGUGCAAUCAAGUUAGAACUCAGAAUUCAGAAAGUAACCCAGAACCACACAGGUUCAUGGAAACUGAACAACUGGCUCUUGAAUGUUGACUGGAUAAACAAUGAAAUGAAGGCAGAAAUAAAGAAGUUCUUUGAAACCAACGAGAACGAAGACACAACAUACCAGAAUCUCUGGGACACAUUUAAAGCAGUCUCUAGAGGAAAAUAUACAGCAAUAAGUGCCCAUAUGAGAAGAAUGGAGAGAUCCAAAAUUGACACCCUAUCGUCAAAACUGAAAGAGCUAGAGGAGCAAGAUCAAAAAUACUUAAAACCUAGCAGAAGACAAGAAAUAACUAAGAUCAGAGCAGAACUGAAGGAGAUAGAGACAUGAAAAACUCUUCAAAACAUCAAUAAAUCCAAGAGCUGGUUUUUUGAAAAGAUCAACAAAAUAGACAGACCACUAGCCAGACUGAUUAAAAAGAAAAGAGAGAACAACCAAAUAGAUGCAAUAAAAAAUGAUAAAGGGGAAAUCACCACAGAUUCCACAGAAAUUCAAAAUAUCAUUAGAGAAUAUUACAAACAACUCUAUGCACAUAAACUAGUAAACCUGGAAGAAAUGGAUACAUUACUGGACACCUGUGUCUUCCGAAGCCUAAACCAGGAGGAAGCCAAAACUAUGAAUAGACCAAUAACAAGGUCUGAAGUCGAGGCAGCAAUUAAGAGCCUACCACACAAAAAAAGCCCAGGUCGACAUGGGUUCACAGCCAAAUUCUACCAGACACACAAAGAGGAGUUGGUACCAUUCCUUCUGAAACUAUUCCAAAUAAUCUAAAAAGAGGGAAUCCUUCCCAAAUCGUUUUAUGAGACCAACAUCAUCCUGUUACCAAAACGCGGCAGAGACCCAACAAGAAAAGAAAACUUCAGGCCAAUAUCCAGGAUGAACAUAGAUGCAAAAAUCUUCAAUAAAAUAUUGGCAAGCCGAUUGCAAUAGCACAUCAAAAAACUUAUCCAUCAUGAUCAAGUAGGAUUCAUCCCAGUGAUGCAAGGCUGGUUCAACAUACACAAGUGUAUAAAUGUAAUUCACCACAUAAACAGAACCAAAAACAAAAACCACAUGAUUAUCUCAAUUGAUGCAGAGAAGGCAUUUGACAAAAUUCAACAGCCCUUUAUGCUAAAAACCCUCAAUAAACUCGGUAUCGGUGGAAUGUAUCUCAAAGUAGCAAAAGCUAUUGACGACAAACCAACAGCCAAUAUCAUACUGAAUGGGCAAAAACUGGAAGCAUUCCCUUUGAUAUCCGGCACAAGACAAGGAUGCCCUCUUUCACCACUCCUAUUCAAUAUAGUACUGGAAGUUCUAGCCAGAGCAAUCAGGCAAGAAAAAGAAAUAAAGCAUAUUCAAAUAGGAAAGGUGGAAGUCAAAUUGUCACUAUUUGCAGACGACAUGAUGGUAUACCUAGAAGACCCCAUUGCCUCAGCCCAAAAACUCCUGAAACUAAUAAGCAACUUCAACAAAGUCUCAGGAUAUAAAGUCAAUGUGCAAAAAUCACAAGCAUUCCUAUACACCAAUAACAGACUUAAAGAGAGCCAAAUCAAGAAUGAACUGCCAUUCACAAUUGCUACAAAAAGAAUAAAAUACCUUGGAAUACAACUCACAAGGAACAUAAGGGACCUCUUCAAGGAAAACUACAAACCACUUCUCAAUGAAAUAAGAGAGGACACAAACAGAUGGAGAAACAUUCCAUGUUCACAGUUAGGAAGAAUUAAUAUCGUGAAAAUGUCUAUAUUGCCCAAAGUAAUUUACAGACUCAACGCUAUCUCCAUCAAGCUACCAUUGACUUUCUUCACAGAACUGGAAAAACCACCUUAAACUUCAUAUGGAACCAAAAGAGAGCCCGCAUAGCCAAGUCAAUUCUAAGCAAAAAGAUCACAGUGGGGGGCGUCACACUACCGGGUUUCAAACUAUACUACAAGGCUACAGUAAUCAAAACAGCAUGGUACUGGUACCAAAACAGAGAUAUAGACCAAUGGAACAGAACAGAGGCAUCGGAGGCAACACAACAUAUCUGCAACCAUACAAUCUUUGAUAAACCUGACAAAAACAAGUAAAGGGGAAAGGAUUCCCUGUUUAAUAAAUGGUGUUGGGAAAACUGGCUAGCCAUGUGCAGAAAGCAGAAACUAGACCCCUUCCUGACACCUUACACUAAAAUUAACUCCAAAUGGAUUGAAGACUUAAACAUAAGACCUGGCACCAUAAAAACCCUAGAAGAAAAUCUAUGCAAAACCAUUCAGGACAUAGGAGUAGGCAAGGACUUCAUGAACAAAACACCAAAAGCAUUGGCAACAAAAGCCAAAAUAGACAAAUGGGACCUAAUGAAACUCCACAGCUUCUUCACAGCAAAAGAAACAGUCACUAGAGUGAAUCAGCAACCAACAGAAUGGGAAAAAAAUUUUGCAGUCUACCCAACUGACAAAGGGCUGAUAUCCAGAAUUUACAAAGAACUCAAACAGAUUUACAGAAAAAAAACCAAGCCCAUUCAAAAAUGGGCAAAGGAUAUGAACAGACACUUUACAAAAGAAGACAUACAUGAGGCCAACAAACAUAUGAAAAAAUGCUCAUCGUCACUGGUCAUUAGAGAGAUGCAAAUCAAAACCACAUUGAGAUACCAUCUCACGCCAGUUAGAAUGGCAAUCAUUAAAAAAUCUGGAGACAACAGAUGCUAGAGAGGAUGUUGAGAAAUAGGAACACUUUUACACUGCUGGUGGGAGUGUAAACUAGUUCAACCAUUGUGGAAGACAGUGUGGCGAUUCCUCAAGGCCUUAGAAAUAGAAAUUCCAAUUGACCCAGCAAUCCCAUUACUGGGUAUAUAUCCAAAGGUCUAUAAAUCGUUCUACUAUAAGGACACACACACACAAACGUUCAUCGCAGCACAGUUUACAAUAGCAAAGACCUGGAACCAAACCAAAUGCCCAUCGAUGAUAGACUGGAUUGGGAAAAUGUGGCACAUAUACACCAUGGAAUAUUAUGCAGCAAUCAAAAAUGAUGAGUUCGUGUCAUUUGUAGGGACAUGGAUGAAUCUGGAGAACAUCAUUCUCAGCAAACUGACACAAGAACAGAAAAUGAAAUACCGCAUAUUCUCACUCAUAGGCGGGUGAUGAAAAAUGAGAACACACAGACACAGGGAAGGGAGUACCAAAC